GAGGGGAGGUAGAAGAGUUAGAGACAGGAUAAAAAUAAGACUAAGAAGAACCUGACUGAGGCUAAGUGAUUUACCGGGGAGGACCUGGUUGGUGGCAGCGGAUUAGUGGUGUAUGGGUCAAUAGUCCAUGAGACGACCGGGGGCUCCGUAUGAACGCCACAAAGGUCUGCAUCAGCUUUGUGUGUACCCCAAAUUGUUCGGCUUCUUUUGUGAAGGGUCUCAUGAUUCCAAGUCAGAUUGCACCAUAAAUAAAAUUUCUCAAGCUGGAUUCCCUAAGCUUCUGAGUCUUUCUCUGGCCUCGGCUGUCUAAAAAAGAUACAUGACCAUCCUCUCCCUCCCACCCCAAAGAACAAAACCAUGAUGCUCGAGGAAACACCCUGGCCUCAAGGUGGGAGGUGAUUUAGAGGAGAUUUGUUUUUCAGGACAGGUCUAGCUUUUAAUCACAGUUACU
This is a long non-coding RNA of Podarcis raffonei (Aeolian wall lizard), 451 nucleotides long. RefSeq lists it as uncharacterized. The transcript is spliced from 3 exons. Lineage: Eukaryota; Metazoa; Chordata; Lepidosauria; Squamata; Lacertidae. The record is from RefSeq and is a predicted model, not a curated record.